CCUACGGGGGGCAGCAGUGAGGAAUAUUGGUCAAUGGACGCAAGUCUGAACCAGCCAUGCCGCGUGCAGGAUGACGGCUUUCGGGUUGUAAACUUCUUUUAAGAGGGAAGAGUAGAAGACGGUACCUCUUGAAUAAGCCACGGCUAACUACGUGACAGCAGCCGCGGUAAUACGUAGGUGGCAAGCGUGGUUCGGAUUUACUGGGUGUAAAGGGCGUGUAUCCGGGCCGGCAAGUCAGAUGUGAAAUCCCAAGGCUCAACCUUGGAACUGCAUUUGAAACUGUUGGUCUUGAGUAUCGGAGAGGCAGGUGGAAUUCCUAGUGUAGCGGUGAAAUGCGUAGAUAUUAGGAGGAACACCAGUGGCGAAGGCGGCCUGCUGGACGACAACUGACGGUGAGGCGCGAAAGCGUGGGGAGCAAACAGGAUUAGAUACCCUUGUAGUC
This 442-nucleotide ribosomal RNA is filed under the name uncultured bacterium. RNAcentral's name for it is "partial 16S ribosomal RNA". It matches the Rfam family "Bacterial small subunit ribosomal RNA", at positions 338 to 795 of the family's 1533-position model. The record is from RNAcentral.